This 76-nucleotide transfer RNA is filed under the name Staphylococcus aureus. Its description in RNAcentral is "tRNA-Thr(tgt)". It matches the Rfam family "tRNA". From Rfam's summary of the family: Transfer RNA (tRNA) molecules are approximately 80 nucleotides in length. Their secondary structure includes four short double-helical elements and three loops (D, anti-codon, and T loops). Lineage: Bacteria; Bacillati; Bacillota; Bacilli; Caryophanales; Staphylococcaceae. The record is from RNAcentral.
UUGCCGGCCUAGCUCAAUUGGUAGAGCAACUGACUUGUAAUCAGUAGGUUGGGGGUUCAAGUCCUCAGCUGGUAGA